This 320-nucleotide ribosomal RNA is filed under the name uncultured bacterium. Its description in RNAcentral is "bacterial SSU rRNA". It matches the Rfam family "Bacterial small subunit ribosomal RNA", at positions 28 to 348 of the family's 1533-position model. The record is from RNAcentral.
GAUGAACGCUAGCGGCAGGCUUAACACAUGCAAGUCGAGGGGUAGAGGAAGCUUGCUUCCUUGAGACCGGCGCACGGGUGCGUAACGCGUAUACAAUCUACCUUUUACAGAGGGAUAGCCCCAGAGAAAUUUGGAUUAAUACCUCAUAGUAUUUUCGGAUCGCAUGAUUUGAUUAUUAAAGUUCCAACGGUAAAGAUGAGUAUGCGUCCCAUUAGCUAGAUGGUAAGGUAACGGCUUACCAUGGCAAUGAUGGGUAGGGGUCCUGAGAGGGAGAUCCCCCACACUGGUACUGAGACACGGACCAGACUCCGUACGGGAGG